UCGAUGUGUGCAGUUUUCAAGUUUUUAAACUGUUUUUUGAUCGCCCUGUCGUUCACUUAAUUUAUGUUAUUUUGUAGUCUGGAAAAGGUGGCAAGGGUGGCAAGGGUGGCAAGGGAGUUGCAUUUUUCUAAACAGAAAAGCCACCCAUUUCAUACAUAUUAUUCAUCAUUAUA
Molecule: non-coding RNA, 173 nt
Filed under: Heterosigma akashiwo
Lineage: Eukaryota; Raphidophyceae; Chattonellales; Chattonellaceae
Source: RNAcentral